RNAcentral lists this non-coding RNA (98 nucleotides) under Paenibacillus xerothermodurans. Its description in RNAcentral is "Bacillus xerothermodurans Bacterial large subunit ribosomal RNA". It matches the Rfam family "Bacterial large subunit ribosomal RNA", at positions 2122 to 2219 of the family's 2925-position model. The record is from Rfam by way of RNAcentral. Lineage: Bacteria; Bacillati; Bacillota; Bacilli; Caryophanales; Paenibacillaceae.
CUUUGGUACGAUCAGUGCAGGAUAGGUGGGAGCCGUUGACGCUUGAGCGCUAGCUGAGGUGGAGGCGCCGUUGGGAUACCACACUGAUCGUGUCGGAG